UAACUAUUUGUUCACAUGUGUGUACUAUUGAAUCACAUUCUUGUACUAAUAGGGGAGUUGGUGCAAAAUUGAUAAUACUUGCAUGACUAAGUUAAAAAUGGAGGUAUAGAUGGAGGUACCAUACUGUAAUUCGUAUUUUUACAUGAUUAUAACUAUUGAUUCACAUGAUUGAACUAUUGAUUCACGUUAUUUACUAUUAGGGG
RNAcentral lists this long non-coding RNA (203 nucleotides) under Panax ginseng (ginseng). Its description in RNAcentral is "long non-coding RNA (PGIN_LNC006323)". The record is from RNAcentral. Lineage: Eukaryota; Viridiplantae; Streptophyta; Magnoliopsida; Apiales; Araliaceae.